AGUAUAUAACUGCAGGAGAUGCAGCUGUACUAACACAGAGGCCCCUAUCCACCCAGAGGCACUGAUAACCCUGCGGGAAGAAUAGCUCAGAGUUUACAUAUUGAUGCAUCCUCAAAUAUAAAGUCAAUGGAGCAGCAAUGGACUCAGCUGGCUUGGGAAGAGCUGCCAGAUUUUCAGAACAAUGCCACCCUCAUCAUCACCGUUAACGCCUCUCUCCUCCUCAGAAACAUCCCAGAUCCCAAC
This is a long non-coding RNA of Sinocyclocheilus anshuiensis, 243 nucleotides long. RefSeq lists it as uncharacterized. The record is from RefSeq and is a predicted model, not a curated record. Lineage: Eukaryota; Metazoa; Chordata; Actinopteri; Cypriniformes; Cyprinidae. The transcript has 3 exons.